CUUGCCAGUGUCAAAACACACUGAAAAAUUUUUCUACAUUUUUAUAGAACCUCCUUCUGCAUGUGGAAAUUUCUUUUUUACAUUUCCAUGAUUCUAGUCGACAACAGUGGAACGGCUGAAGAAUGUGCUGGUUGCGAUGAAGAUAAGUUAGUUUCAUAUCUGGCAAAUCUCGAGGAAACUUGAGGAAAAUCUGAAGCCAAUAGACCAAUACCUGAAAUCGUGCAGAAACCCAGACGAAAAGGAUCUUUACAUAUCGCUCAUUAGAGGCGUCAAAGUUUUGAACGACAAGCUUUGCUGCACGGACACAGACUUUUACAAAAGAUUCAGUAUAUUCCACCCAUGCUUGGCAGAGUUGAAGAACGAUUUUGAAAGCUGUAAUGGUCCAGCUGACUGGAUUGAAGAACAGGAUGAGAGAGUCUGCAGAACCUACAAAAGUAUAGUUGACUGUUAUUACAUAAAAGCUGCGAAAGUUUGCGGAAAGGAGGCUGCAAAAGCCAUUACAGAACUGAUAGAGGAUGUCAUUAAUAGUAUCAUAAAUGCAAAAUGUACGGGAAUUAAAUCUUUGCCUGUGGUAAGAGAUGCUAUGCCUGAAAAAUAUAUAAGAAGAAAUAGUGCAGAGAAAGAAUGUUUGAACACAUGGAAGACAAUCACGAUAGUACUAUUACAUAUUUCUUACAUUGUACACUGCUAUAUUCUUAAGUAAUUGUAUGUUAACGAUCAAAUAAAUUUAUCGUCAAAUGUU
Molecule: unclassified non-coding RNA, 742 nt
Filed under: Leptinotarsa decemlineata (Colorado potato beetle)
Lineage: Eukaryota; Metazoa; Arthropoda; Insecta; Coleoptera; Chrysomelidae
Description: uncharacterized LOC111514631, transcript variant X1
Source: RNAcentral